GACGAACGCUGGCGGCGUGCUUAACACAUGCAAGUCGAACGAAGUGGCGAACGGGUGAGUAACGCGUAAUCAACCUGCCCUUCAGACGGGGACAACAGUUGGAAACGACUGCUAAUACCGCAUACGGAAGGAGGGGAUUGCGUCUGAUUAGCUAGUUGGAGGGGUAACGGCCCAACAAGGCGAUGAUCAGUAGUCGGGCUGGAAGGAGAAACGGCGAAAGUGGGAUGGAGAAACGGACCAGACGCGUAGAGGGGGCAGCAGGGGGGAAUCUUCCGCAAUGGACGAAAGUCUGAAGGAGAAACGCCGGGGGAAUGAGGAGGGCAUGCGGGUUGUAAAGCGCUGUUAAUCGGAAAGCGGUACCGGAAUAGAAAGCCACGGCUAACUACGUGCCAGCAGCCGCGGUAAUUC
This 408-nucleotide ribosomal RNA is filed under the name uncultured bacterium. RNAcentral describes it as "partial 16S ribosomal RNA". It matches the Rfam family "Bacterial small subunit ribosomal RNA", at positions 28 to 526 of the family's 1533-position model. The record is from RNAcentral.